Long non-coding RNA from Thamnophis elegans (Western terrestrial garter snake), 495 nucleotides. RefSeq lists it as uncharacterized. The transcript has 2 exons. NCBI's taxonomy places the organism in Eukaryota, Metazoa, Chordata, Lepidosauria, Squamata, Natricidae. The record is from RefSeq and is a predicted model, not a curated record.
GUCUAUGAAGAGAAGAGGGGCCAGCUGAAGGCAGAACUGCUCCGCGCUGGAAAUCUCCGGCUGCCUUGCAGCCCCAAAAACGGUGGAGCCUCAAAAUGUCAGCAUGCCGCAAGUUCUGAAAGUGUGUGUUAUUAAAAUAAUACAUCAUUGUUUAAUGGGAUGUUUAAAAUCAGAAGAUAAUGUGGAUGGAAACAAUGAAACAGAACUUGUUUACAGCUUAUGUAUUCGGCUUUCUAUGCCGCAUAUUUUCUGUGUCAUCAUCAGUAUUACUGACUAAGUGAAUAAAUUAUAUUUCACCAGGGAUACACUUGAUGAUCUCAAGACAUUCAUACAGUGUAUCGAGAAGAGUCAUAAACCGCUGUCAUUAAUGUCAAAGAUUGAAGCUGAAUUGCCAUUGGCUCUGAAGAGGAUCAUAUGCCAGAAUGUAACAGAAAUUAAUUACAAGAAACUGUUAAAGCUAUGAAAUUUAUAAUAAAAUGUGCUUUACAAAACAUA